UACAGAGGUCUCAAGCGUUGUUCGGAUUCAUUGGGCGUAAAGGGUGCGUAGGCGGCGGGGCAAGUCAGGUGUGAAAUCCCGGGGCUCAACCCUGGAACUGCACUUGAUACUGCUUUGCUAGAGUACUGGAGAGGAGAUUGGAAUUUACGGUGUAGCAGUGAAAUGCGUAGAUAUCGUAAGGAAGACCAGUGGCGAAGGCGAAUCUCUGGACAGUUACUGACGCUGAGGCACGAAAGCUAGGGGAGCAAACAGG
Molecule: ribosomal RNA, 253 nt
Filed under: uncultured bacterium
Lineage: Bacteria
Description: partial 16S ribosomal RNA
Rfam family: Bacterial small subunit ribosomal RNA
Source: RNAcentral